CUUCAACCUUCCUUCACACCAGGGGAAGUCAGCACACAAGAGCUGCAAGGCGAGAUCCCAUCAAGGACCCUGAUGGUUCCUGAAGUAUUUCCACAGCCUUGUGGGUAGCAAGAAGCAUCCAGCAGCUGAAGGUGGAACAGCUGUAGAAGGAAAUAUCUUUUUUAACUACAGCAUAAAAAGAGAAGGACGUGAGCUGAAGGAGAAGUGAAGAGGAUCAACACAGAGUAAAUAACAGUUAUGAUACUAAAGCAGGAAGCUUCAGAAGCAGAAACCUCAUGGCAAGCCAGAAUGAAUAAUAAUGCUGAAUUCUGGGGAUAUUGCCAGGAAAUGUCAUACAGGAUGCUCUGCAGCAGCAGCUAAGGAACUACAGGUGGAAUUGCAGGAUUAUAUGUUGCCAAGCUCAAGGCAAGCUUGGGAAGCAAAAUGAACUACGAUGGAAAGCAGAGGGGAGCUCCAGGUAGUUCCAAUUUACUCUGCUAUGGAAACUUGUAGAUUCGUAAUGUAUUUCAUGUUAAGUCUACCAUGUAGUAAGCCUGUACAGCUGUCAUUCCCCACAGAAUUUCUUUUUGAACCCAAUAAAGA
This is a long non-coding RNA of Numida meleagris (helmeted guineafowl), 582 nucleotides long. RefSeq lists it as uncharacterized. NCBI's taxonomy places the organism in Eukaryota, Metazoa, Chordata, Aves, Galliformes, Numididae. The transcript is spliced from 3 exons. The record is from RefSeq and is a predicted model, not a curated record.